GAUGAACGCUGGCGGCGUGCCUAAUACAUGCAAGUCGAGCGAACAGACGAGGAGCUUGCUCCUUUGACGUUAGCGGCGGACGGGUGAGUAACACGUGGGUAACCUACCUAUAAGACUGGGAUAACUUCGGGAAACCGGAGCUAAUACCGGAUAAUAUUUCGAACCGCAGGGUUCGAUAGUGAAAGAUGGCUUUGCUAUCACGUAUAGAUGGACCUGCGCCGUAUUAGCUAGUUGGUAAGGUAACGGCUUACCAAGGCAACGAUACGUAGCCGACCUGAGAGGGUGAUCGGCCACACUGGAACUGAGACACGGUCCAGACUCCUACGGGAGGCAGCAGUAGGGAAUCUUCCGCAAUGGGCGAAAGCCUGACGGAGCAACGCCGCGUGAGUGAUGAAGGUCUUCGGAUCGUAAAACUCUGUUAUUAGGGAAGAACAAACGUGUAAGUAACUGUGCACGUCUUGACGGUACCUAAUCAGAAAGCCACGGCUAACUACGUG
Molecule: ribosomal RNA, 497 nt
Filed under: uncultured bacterium
Lineage: Bacteria
Description: partial 16S ribosomal RNA
Rfam family: Bacterial small subunit ribosomal RNA
Source: RNAcentral